AGUGAACGCUGGCGGUAGGCCUAACACAUGCAAGUCGAACGGCAGCACAGUAAGAGCUUGCUCUUACGGGUGGCGAGUGGCGGACGGGUGAGGAAUACAUCGGAAUCUACUUUUUCGUGGGGGAUAACGUAGGGAAACUUACGCUAAUACCGCAUACGACCUACGGGUGAAAGCAGGGAUUCUUCGAACCUUGCCGGAUGGAAUGAGCCGAUGUCGGAUUAGCUAGUUGGCGGGGUAAAGGCCCACCAAGGCGACGAUCCGUAGCUGGUCUGAGAGGAUGAUCAGCCACACUGGAACUGAGACACGGUCCAGACUCCUACGGGAGGCAGCAGUGGGGAAUAUUGGACAAUGGGCGCAAGCCUGAUCCAGCCAUACCGCGUGGGUGAAGAAGGCCUUCGGGUUGUAAAGCCCUUUUGUUGGGAAAGAAAAGCAGCAGGUUAAUACCCCGCUGUUCUGACGGUACCCAAAGAAUAAGCACCGGCUAACUUCGUG
Molecule: ribosomal RNA, 492 nt
Filed under: uncultured bacterium
Lineage: Bacteria
Description: partial 16S ribosomal RNA
Rfam family: Bacterial small subunit ribosomal RNA
Source: RNAcentral